GUACACGCUGUGACUAGCAUAUCAAUAAGCGGAGGAAAAGAAACUAACAAGGAUUCCCCUAGUAACGGCGAGUGAAGCGGGAAGAGCUCAAAUUUGAAAUCUUAAAGGGUUUCCCUUUACGAAUUGUAGUUUAAAGAAGUGCUUUUCUGUUGAGGUUUUGGUAAAAGUUCUUUGGAAUAGGACAUCAUAGAGGGUGAGAAUCCCGUAUUUGACCUUUACUUUCAACUUUGUGAUACACUUUCAAAGAGUCGGAUUGUUUGGGAAUGCAGUCCAAAAUGGGUGGUAAAUUUCAUCUAAAGCUAAAUAUUGGCGAGAGACCGAUAGCGAACAAGUACCGUGAGGGAAAGAUGAAAAGAACUUUGAAAAGAGAGUUAAACAGUACGUGAAAUUGUCAAAAGGGAAGCGUUUGACACCAGUGUUGUUUUUCUGAAAAUCAAUUAAAGAACUGUUUAUGCUAAGCUUGUUUAGACUUUAUCAGCUAUCUGCUUAGUUUUGAGCUUUUCUUUAAUGCACUUUUCAGUUAACAAGUCAACAUCAAUUUCUUUUGCUGUAAAAAAGCUUGAGGAAGGUGGCUUGAGAUUCGUCUUAAGUGUUUAUAGCCUCUUGCCUAUGCAGUCGGAGAGAUUGAGGUCUGCAGCGUAGAUCCUUCGGGGCUAAAUGCAUUUGUGCUAAGUUAUAGCAUUUUAUAGACAACUUGUUGACUAUGAUUUGUCUUGUAGCUUACUCGCUUAUGUUAUUUUACCUACGCUUAGGAUGUUGAAGAUGUAGCACAUCAU
This 776-nucleotide ribosomal RNA is filed under the name uncultured Neocallimastigales. Its description in RNAcentral is "partial large subunit ribosomal RNA". It matches the Rfam family "Eukaryotic large subunit ribosomal RNA", at positions 22 to 635 of the family's 3401-position model. The record is from RNAcentral. Lineage: Eukaryota; Fungi; Neocallimastigomycota; Neocallimastigomycetes; Neocallimastigales.